AUAUUAAUUUACUUCAUUGGUGCGAAUGUCUUUAGACAUUUGCUUAAAAGGGAAAUCGGUGCAAAUCCGAUGCUGUCCCGCAACUGUAAAUGGGGAGUCUAUACAAUAUGCCACUGUAGCAAAGCUAUGGGAAGGCGUAUAGAUGAUGAACCUAAGCCAGGAUACCUGCCAAUAAGAGCAACACAUU
Molecule: non-coding RNA, 187 nt
Filed under: Lysinibacillus contaminans
Lineage: Bacteria; Bacillati; Bacillota; Bacilli; Caryophanales; Bacillaceae
Source: RNAcentral